RNAcentral lists this ribosomal RNA (466 nucleotides) under uncultured bacterium. RNAcentral's name for it is "partial 16S ribosomal RNA". It matches the Rfam family "Bacterial small subunit ribosomal RNA", at positions 28 to 507 of the family's 1533-position model. The record is from RNAcentral.
GACGAACGCUGGCGGCGUGCUUAACACAUGCAAGUCGAACGGAAAGGCCCUGCUUGCAGGGUACUCGAGUGGCGAACGGGUGAGUAACACGUGGGUGGUCUGCCCUGCACUUCGGGAUAAGCUUGGGAAGCGGGGUCUAAUACCGGAUAGGAGCCAUCUUUAGUGUGGUGGUUGGAAAGUUUUUUCGGUGUAGGAUGAGCUCGCGGCCUAUCAGCUUGUUGGUGGGGUAAUGGCCUACCAAGGCGGCGACGGGUAGCCGGCCUGAGAGGGUGUACGGCCACAUUGGGACUGAGAUACGGCCCAGACUCCUACGGGAGGCAGCAGUGGGGAAUAUUGCACAAUGGGCGCAAGCCUGAUGCAGCGACGCCGCGUGGGGGAUGAAGGCCUUCGGGUUGUAAACUCCUUUCGCUAGGGACGAAGCUCUGUUGUGACGGUACCUAGAUAAGAAGCACCGGCUAACUACGUG